This 69-nucleotide transfer RNA is filed under the name Tagiades tethys. Its description in RNAcentral is "Daimio tethys tRNA-Gln". Lineage: Eukaryota; Metazoa; Arthropoda; Insecta; Lepidoptera; Hesperiidae. The record is from RNAcentral.
UAUAUUUUAGUGUAAAAUGCACAAUAAUUUUUGAUAUUAUUAGAUAUAGUUAGAUUCUAUAAAAUAUAA